CCUACGGGAGGCAGCAGUGGGGAAUAUUGCACAAUGGGGGAAACCCUGAUGCAGCGACGCCGCGUGCGUGAAGAAGUAUCUCGGUAUGUAAAGCUCCAUCAGUAGGGAAGAAAAUGACGGUACCUGACUAAGUAGCCCCGGCUAACUACGUGCCAGCAGCCGCGGCAAUACGGAGGGGGCAAGCGUUAUCCGGAUUUACUGGGUGUAAAGGGAGCGUAGACGGCAGCGCAAGUCUGAAGUGAAAUCCCAUGGCUUAACCACGGAACUGCUUUGGAAACUGUGCAGCUGGAGUGCAGGGGAGGUAAGCGGAAUGCGUAGUGUAGCGGUGAAAUGCAUAGAUAUUAGGCAGAACACCAGUGGCGAAGGCAGCUUACUGGACUGUAACUGACGUUGAGGCUCGAAAGCGUGGGGAGCGAACAGGAUUAGAUACCCUUGUAGUC
RNAcentral lists this ribosomal RNA (440 nucleotides) under uncultured bacterium. RNAcentral's name for it is "partial 16S ribosomal RNA". It matches the Rfam family "Bacterial small subunit ribosomal RNA", at positions 338 to 795 of the family's 1533-position model. The record is from RNAcentral.